ACAUGCAAGUCGAACGAAGGCUUCGGCCUUAGUGGCGCACGGGUGCGUAACGCGUGGGAAUCUGCCCUUGGGUUCGGAAUAACAGUUGGAAACGACUGCUAAUACCGGAUGAUGUCGCGAGACCAAAGAUUUAUCGCCCAGGGAUGAGCCCGCGUCGGAUUAGGUAGUUGGUGGGGUAAAGGCCUACCAAGCCGACGAUCCGUAGCUGGUCUGAGAGGAUGAUCAGCCACACUGGGACUGAGACACGGCCCAGACUCCUACGGGAGGCAGCAGUGGGGAAUAUUGGACAAUGGGCGAAAGCCUGAUCCAGCAAUGCCGCGUGAGUGAUGAAGGCCUUAGGGUUGUAAAGCUCUUUUACCCGGGAUGAUAAUGACAGUACCGGGAGAAUAAGCUCCGGCUAACUCCGUGCCAGCAGCCGCGGUAAUACGGAGGGAGCUAGCGUUGUUCGGAAUUACUGGGCGUAAAGCGCACGUAGGCGGCUUUGUAAGUCAGGGGUGAAAGCCUGGAGCUCAACUCCAGAACUGCCUUUGAGACUGCAUCGCUUGAUCCGG
Molecule: ribosomal RNA, 551 nt
Filed under: Sphingomonas sp. E59
Lineage: Bacteria; Pseudomonadati; Pseudomonadota; Alphaproteobacteria; Sphingomonadales; Sphingomonadaceae
Description: bacterial SSU rRNA
Rfam family: Bacterial small subunit ribosomal RNA
Source: RNAcentral